UACGGGGGGGGUAAGCGUUGUUCGGAAUUACUGGGCGUAAAGGGCUCGUAGGCGGCCAACUAAGUCAUACGUGAAAUCCCUCAGCUUAACUGGGGAACUGCGUGUGAUACUGGAUGGCUUGGAUUUGGGAGAGGGAUGCGGAAUUCCAGGUGUAGCGGUGAAAUGCGUAGAUAUCUGGAGGAACACCGGUGGCGAAGGCGGGUCUCUGGGCAGUAACUGACGCUGAGGAGCGAAAGCGUGGGGAGCGAACAGG
This 253-nucleotide ribosomal RNA is filed under the name uncultured bacterium. Its description in RNAcentral is "partial 16S ribosomal RNA". It matches the Rfam family "Bacterial small subunit ribosomal RNA", at positions 524 to 776 of the family's 1533-position model. The record is from RNAcentral.